RNAcentral lists this ribosomal RNA (253 nucleotides) under uncultured bacterium. Its description in RNAcentral is "partial 16S ribosomal RNA". It matches the Rfam family "Bacterial small subunit ribosomal RNA", at positions 524 to 776 of the family's 1533-position model. The record is from RNAcentral.
UACGAAGGGGGCUAGCGUUGUUCGGAAUUACUGGGCGUAAAGCGCGCGCAGGCGGUCUUCCAAGUCAGUGGUGAAAGCCCGGAGCUCAACUCCGGAACUGCCAUUGAAACUGUGAGACUUGAGUAUGAGAGAGGUGAGUGGAAUUCCCAGUGUAGAGGUGAAAUUCGUAGAUAUUGGGAAGAACACCGGUGGCGAAGGCGGCUCUCUGGGACGGUACUGACGCUGAGACGCGAAAGCGUGGGGAGCGAACAGG